GACGAACGCUGGCGGCGUGCUUAACACAUGCAAGUCGAACGGUGAACCUGCUUCGGUGGGGGAUCAGUGGCGAACGGGUGAGUAACACGUGGGCAACCUGCCCUCAGCUCUGGGAUAACUCCAAGAAAUUGGGGCUAAUACUGGAUAUGACCGCUGACCGCAUGGUCUGGUGGUGGAAAGAUUUAUCGGCUGGGGAUGGGCCCGCGGCCUAUCAGCUUGUUGGUGGGGUAGUGGCCUACCAAGGCGACGACGGGUAGCCGGCCUGAGAGGGUGACCGGCCACACUGGGACUGAGACACGGCCCAGACUCCUACGGGAGGCAGCAGUGGGGAAUAUUGCGCAAUGGGCGAAAGCCUGACGCAGCGACGCCGCGUGGGGGGUGACGGCCUUCGGGUUGUAAACCUCUUUCAGCAGGGACGAAGCGAAAGUGGCGGUACCUGCAGAAGAAGCACCGGCCAACUACGUG
Molecule: ribosomal RNA, 465 nt
Filed under: uncultured bacterium
Lineage: Bacteria
Description: partial 16S ribosomal RNA
Rfam family: Bacterial small subunit ribosomal RNA
Source: RNAcentral